This 414-nucleotide long non-coding RNA is filed under the name Manihot esculenta (cassava). Its description in RNAcentral is "long non-coding RNA (MESC_LNC004216)". The record is from RNAcentral. Lineage: Eukaryota; Viridiplantae; Streptophyta; Magnoliopsida; Malpighiales; Euphorbiaceae.
UUUUAUCAAUCUUUCAAUCUCCGCGAUUAACUGAAAACAGUUAUUUGUAUCGUGGCCAUGCGUCCGGUGGUAUUGACAAUACUUGUCAGGAUUCCUCUGAUCUGCUUCCGACUUCAAAGGUUUGGGCCACUGGAGAAACUCCUUAUCCUGGACAGCCAUGAGCACCUCGGCUCUGGACGCAUUUAAUGGAGUCGGUUUCUCCGGGACCCAAGGAGGGAGCACUCUUGGUUCGAGGACCCGAGGAGGAGGAGGCCUUUGAUCCCUUCUUUCCCAGGCCUGCUUGUACGGCUCAGGCCUCUUUCCACGCUUCUUCUCGUGUUUCUCCGACCUCCCUUCCUCCGGGGCUUUCUCUUUUCCUUCCACCCCUUUGGCAAAUCUACUCGUUACUAAGGCGUCAUCCUGCCUUAUAUACUU